This 406-nucleotide ribosomal RNA is filed under the name uncultured bacterium. RNAcentral's name for it is "partial 16S ribosomal RNA". It matches the Rfam family "Bacterial small subunit ribosomal RNA", at positions 30 to 526 of the family's 1533-position model. The record is from RNAcentral.
AUUGAACGCUGGCGGCAGGCCUAACACAUGCAAGUCGAACGAGUGGCGGACGGGUGAGUAAUGUCUGGGAAACUGCCUGAUGGAGGGGGAUAACUACUGGAAACGGUAGCUAAUACCGCAUACCAUCAGAUGUGCCCAGAUGGGAUUAGCUUGUUGGUGGGGUAACGGCUCACCAAGGCGACGAUCCCUAGCUGGUCUGAGAGGAUGACCAGCAACACUGGUACUGAGACGCGGUCAGGACUCAUACGGGAGGCAGCAGUGGGGAAUAGUGAACAAUGGGGGGAAGCCGGAUGCAGCAAUGCCGCGUGUAUGAAGAAGGCCUUCGGGUUGGAAAGUACUUUCAGCGGGGAGGCGUUACCCGCAGAAGAAGCACCGGCUAACUCCGUGCCAGCAGCCGCGGUAAUUC